CGAAAACUUUACAAUGCGGGAAACCGCGAUAAGGGGACAUUGAGUGCCACCCCCAUGGGUGGGCUGUCCGCACGUAUAAAUAACAUGUGUUAGCAANNGCCGGGCAAGACCGGUGCCAGCCGCCGCGGUAACACCGGCGGCUCGAGUGGUGGCCGAUAUUAUUGGGUCUAAAGGGUCCGUAGCCGGUUUGAUCAGUCUUCCGGGAAAUCCGACAGCUUAACUGUUAGGCUUCCGGGGGAUACNGUCAGACUUGGGACCGGGAGAGGUAAGAGGUACUCCAGGGGUAGGAGUGAAAUCCUGUAAUCCUUGGGGGACCACCAGUGGCGAAGNCGUCAAACCAGAACGGGUUCGACGGUGAGGGACGAAAGCUAGGGGCACGAACCGGAUUAGAUACCCGGGUAGUCCCAGCCGUAAACGAUGCUCGCAUGGUGUCUCC
This 436-nucleotide ribosomal RNA is filed under the name uncultured Methanolobus sp. RNAcentral's name for it is "bacterial SSU rRNA". It matches the Rfam family "Archaeal small subunit ribosomal RNA", at positions 342 to 778 of the family's 1478-position model. Lineage: Archaea; Methanobacteriati; Methanobacteriota; Methanomicrobia; Methanosarcinales; Methanosarcinaceae. The record is from RNAcentral.